RNAcentral lists this ribosomal RNA (276 nucleotides) under Salmonella enterica subsp. enterica serovar Senftenberg. RNAcentral's name for it is "partial 16S ribosomal RNA". It matches the Rfam family "Bacterial small subunit ribosomal RNA", at positions 1 to 273 of the family's 1533-position model. RNAcentral also lists the same sequence under 3 other names. The record is from RNAcentral. Lineage: Bacteria; Pseudomonadati; Pseudomonadota; Gammaproteobacteria; Enterobacterales; Enterobacteriaceae.
AAAUUGAAGAGUUUGAUCAUGGCUCAGAUUGAACGCUGGCGGCAGGCCUAACACAUGCAAGUCGAACGGUAACAGGAAGCAGCUUGCUGCUUCGCUGACGAGUGGCGGACGGGUGAGUAAUGUCUGGGAAACUGCCUGAUGGAGGGGGAUAACUACUGGAAACGGUGGCUAAUACCGCAUAACGUCGCAAGACCAAAGAGGGGGACCUUCGGGCCUCUUGCCAUCAGAUGUGCCCAGAUGGGAUUAGCUUGUUGGUGAGGUAACGGCUCACCAAGG